AACGAACGCUGGCGGCAGGCCUAAUACAUGCAAGUCGAACGGGCGUAGCAAUACGUCAGUGGCGGACGGGUGAGUAACACGUGGGAACAUGCCUUUCGGUUCGGAAUAACGCAGGGAAACUUGCGCUAAUACCGGAUGACCCGGCGACGGAAAGAUUAUCGCCGAAAGAUUGGCCCGCGUAGGAUUAGCUAGUUGGUGAGGUAACGGCCCACCAAGGCGACGAUCCUUAGCUGGUUUGAGAGAACGAUCAGCCACACUGGGACUGAGACACGGCCCAGACUCCUACGGGAGGCAGCAGUAGGGAAUCUUGGACAAUGGGGGAACCCGUGAUCCAGCCAUGCCGCGUGAGUGAUGAAGGCCUUCGGUU
RNAcentral lists this ribosomal RNA (367 nucleotides) under uncultured bacterium. RNAcentral describes it as "bacterial SSU rRNA". It matches the Rfam family "Bacterial small subunit ribosomal RNA", at positions 29 to 423 of the family's 1533-position model. The record is from RNAcentral.